Molecule: long non-coding RNA, 522 nt
Organism: Denticeps clupeoides (denticle herring)
Lineage: Eukaryota; Metazoa; Chordata; Actinopteri; Clupeiformes; Denticipitidae
Source: Ensembl
UGAUGACGUAGUAACCAACCAGCGGGUUUUUUUCCGGCUCUGCACGGAUGUAGUUCAAAAAAUAUAUAUUAAAAAAAUUACACUCAACACGCAACAAAAGCGAGCUGUGCCGCAAGAAGGUAAACGAGUGGUGUAGAAAGGCGUUUUUUUUGCGGUGGCGGUGCGUUGACUGGGCGGUGCGCACAAGAUCCGAGAGCGUGUGACUCUCGGGCAAAACGAGACUAGCUGGCGUUCUGCUAACCAAGAGGCAGUCUCCACCAUUUUUGAAUCACAGUGCAUACUAAAGAGUGCAUUAGGUUUCACAUGCUCUAUGGCUCAUCUUAGUCGCUACUGACAUUCAUCAAACAAGACCACUUCUAUCCAUCUGAAGCAUUUUUGCCUUGAGCCUGAGAGGGGGCAAAAUCAGGACAACAUUUGGAAUGAGCAAACUGAGUGAUGUUCACUGAAAUGCACGGAGCAGCUGGGAGCUACCCUGAAGGUCUAGUACAGUGAAACACUUGACUGGCUGGAAGCAAUAUUAAA